RNAcentral lists this ribosomal RNA (468 nucleotides) under uncultured bacterium. RNAcentral describes it as "partial 16S ribosomal RNA". It matches the Rfam family "Bacterial small subunit ribosomal RNA", at positions 28 to 507 of the family's 1533-position model. The record is from RNAcentral.
GACGAACGCUGGCGGCGUGCUUAACACAUGCAAGUCGAACGGAAAGGCCCUGCUUUUGUGGGGUGCUCGAGUGGCGAACGGGUGAGUAACACGUGAGUAACCUGCCCUUGACUUUGGGAUAACUUCAGGAAACUGGGGCUAAUACCGGAUAGGAGCUCCUGCUGCAUGGUGGGGGUUGGAAAGUUUCGGCGGUUGGGGAUGGACUCGCGGCUUAUCAGCUUGUUGGUGGGGUAGUGGCUUACCAAGGCUUUGACGGGUAGCCGGCCUGAGAGGGUGACCGGCGACAUUGGGACUGAGAGACGGCCCAGACUCCUACGGGAGGCAGCAGUCGGGAAUAUUGCACAAUGGGCGGAAGCCUGAUGCAGCAACGCCGCGUGCGGGAUGACGGCCUUCGGGGUGUAAACCGCUUUCGCCUGUGACGAAGCGUGAGUGACGGUAAUGGGUAAAGAAGCACCGGCUAACUACGUG